RNAcentral lists this long non-coding RNA (4648 nucleotides) under Homo sapiens (human). Its description in RNAcentral is "HSALNT0311642". The record is from RNAcentral. Lineage: Eukaryota; Metazoa; Chordata; Mammalia; Primates; Hominidae.
GGACGAUUCCAAGGAUCACUGUUGUUGCUAAUUUUUUUUCUUUUAAAAAAUACAGAUAUUUUUAAUAAAAGUAUGUUAAUUAUGUUAACCUGUAAUGGGCUUAUUAUUUCAAAAUCAAUUAACAAUGUAAAUAUUUAAAACUUCUGUGUUAAAAUUUCUAAUAGUAUAAAUAGCAGUAGAUUUAGCCCACUCUAAGGGAGAUGGUUGUGCUUUAGUCAGGAGUAGGCCGAGGCAGCCUUCUGGUGCAGCAUGACUCAGUGGGUUUGGAGGCAGGCACACAACUCCACACAUUAUGUAACCAUGCCAUGUGAGGUGCAUUAGGUGACCACUCAUAUGAGCACGUGCUUGGCUCAAAGCCACUAUUGUCUGUAAAAGGUAAAAUUACCCUGCUGACACUACAUAUGGCUUGCACCCAGAGAGAGAAUAAAGCCAUGUCGAAACCGCCUACUCGAGUGUUUUUCCAGUUACCUGCCACCCACCCACCAACUCCCCUUGGACUUUAGUUUGGGCUAGAACCUGACAAUUGGCAUCACGAACAGGAUCCUAAGCGGCUGCAAGUGAGCAGGUGGUUAGUGGCAGCGCAAGGAGACCACACCCUGACUGAGUGGCUACAGGCAGCCAUAUGAACUGUGUGGAAUAAUGCUGGUGAAAUGCCCAAAACUGUGAGUAAAUGGCAGUCAUAUGCCAAUUUGGUGUAAGUCAUUCGGGAGAUGGGUAUGCGGCAGGCUAUGUUUGUCCUGAAUACCUGAGGGCCAGAUGAUAAAUGUUUCACCUCCCACAUGAGGGAUCUCAUGUUGGGUUUGAUGCUCCUGAGCCCCUUUGGCUCCCUAGCUGCUGUCCUCACCCCAUACGUAGGGCACCGCAUACAUGAAGUAACCACUGCCAUGGCGGCUCUCAGGGAAGCAGAAGGCCUUCAGGGGGAUUGGAGGGUCCACACCAUAAAGAAGGGGAAGUUACCCCACCCACAGGGGGCUCCCCCAUAAAAAAAGGGGGCCCCAACGAGUGACACGCUCACAGAUGUGGAUAGAUUUGAUUUUGGCUGGGGUUGACUGAGAGAAAAUUGAUAAGCAGCCCAAUGAAAUACUCCUAACUUUGCGGAGACAGUUGUAUGCAGGGCAGCAAUUCCGGAAAAUGCCCAAAGGGGAGAAAGGCAUUGCUGUGUGACCUGGUCCUACCCAGCUCAGAGACUACUUGCUGCAGCCAGGUGGAAAUGUAGAGCCUUUUCUGUUCAACUAGGGAACUGGCCAAAGGUGUCUGGCUUGGGGGGACACCAGAUGACCAGAGGCCACAUGUGGAAUUGGCAAUCCACUGGUCCCCCACCAAUGUACAGUGGGUGCUGGUGCUGGUAGAUACUGGCAUAGAUUGUAGCCUUGUUUAUGGGAACCCAGUUAAGUUUUUGGGCAAAUCUGCAUAUAUUAAAGGUUACGGAGGCCAGUCAGUGAAAGUGAAACCUGUAUCUCUGUACCUUGGCAUUGGCCACUUGGCUCCUUGCUUAUACACUGUGUAUGUCUCUCCCAUACCUGAAUACAUUCUGGAGGUGGAUAUUUUACAUGGCUUGGAAGCUGUGCCAUCUAUCAUGGAUUUGAUGAACCACUCGACAAUGGAAUUAGGACAGUACCACUAUGUGGUGGACUUGGCCAAUGCAUUCUUCUCAGUUGACCUUGCUCUAGAGAGCCAGGAACAGUUUGCCUUGAUGACAAUGGACUUUCACAGUGUUGCUGCAGGGCUAUGUGCAUAGCUCCACCAUAUGUCAUGGUCUUGUUGCCAUGGAUUUAACAGCCUGAAAAUGUCCAAAGGGAGUCCACUUGUUCCAUUACGUUGAUGAUAUUAUGUUAACCUCUGAUUCUCUUGCAGAUUUAGAAGCAGUGGCACCCCUCUUGUGGCAACAUUUGGCAGCAUGCAGUUGGGCCAUCAACAAAUCCAAGGUCCGAGGGCCUGGAUUACCUGCUAAAUUCUUGGGAGUUAUCUGGUCGGGGCUGAAGUUCCAGGCUGGACCUGAUGCUCCAAACCUUGAAUGAAUGGCCAUGGAAAAGCAGCCCAGCCCAGGUGGAGGCUUUGUUACAUGGGCCACCACCCCUAUUCAGUUGCAGAUACACACCAAGGGUAACCGCCUCUGACCAGGUUAACAUGCUCCAACUGCAUUGUGGACUGGGCCCACACCUACACUGAAGUGACCAAUGUUUCCAACUGUUGGAUCUGCACCGCCCUUCUAGCAGCUGCAGAUGGCUUGCCUUAGCACAUACAUUCAGCAUCUGCAGAGAACCAGACAUGGCUGGAGACUUGGGGUCCCAUGGCUGAUGCCUGGAACGCAACGUGGCAAGUUUUGGACAAAGGAUGCCACAAGACCCACAGCACAGCCAUUCCCUGGCUGGCCCAUAGCAUUUAUGAUGGGUGGGGCUGGCUAGUGAGGUAACGUGCAGUACCCCUGGCCCAGGCACUGUGGUGCAUAUAGCAACACUGGGGUAAUAGCACUGUGGGAUGGGUACCCGUCACAGUGUGUGUAAGCAUAAUACAUGUCACCACACCAAAGGUAUGGUGGAAGACGCGGCCCCACCAAGGGGCCUCGAUGGACUGUGUGCCCCCUGGGAGUUUAUGGGUCUGUGGGGACACAGGGUGGCCUUACCUAUAAGCAAACUGGACUGGACAUUAUACCUGAGGGUGGCCUCAUGUACCUGCCACUGUUCUCACAUUGCCCAGAUGCCUGCAUAACUGGGAGGUGCUACACUCUCGGUUUUUGCAAGUGUAAUGAGCACCCUGGUGGUUUUACCCCUUGACAGGCACUAGCCCUGGAGUGUGUGUCACAACUGUAGAAGCCAAGUUACUGCUCUUGCAGAGCAUGCUGCUCAGGCUCUGAAUUACACCUGAGUGGCCCUCUUCCCAUUAAUGGAUGAGGUUGAUCAGAUCAGAAAGGUGGUGUUGCGAAACCGAAUGGUCUUAGACAUAGUAACUGCUGCCUAAGGAGGCACCUGUGCCCUUUUAGGAACACAAUGUUGUACCUUUAUCCCUGACAAUUGGCAGAACAUAACAGCAGCCCUGCAAGGGGUCUCACAGGAGAUUAAGGUAGUCAAGAGCCUUACUGAUGACCCCCUGCAGAGAUGGUAGACAUCCCUGGGCUCUGGCCUACGCUGGGCCCUGAUAGUCAUAAGUAGCAUAGCUGGAAUCCUAGUCGUGAGCUGUUGCUCUCCGUAUUGUUGCUGUGGAUUAUGGAUUCAGGGCUCCACCCUACGGGCACAUGUCCCUACCUGGAGGAUGCCCCUGGCCUAGGGGUGGAGUGUAAGGAAGAUGGCUGCGCUUUAGUCAGGAGCAGGCUGAGGCCACUUUUUGGUGCACCAUGACUCAGUGGGUUUGGAGCGUAGGCACACGACUCCGCACAUUAUGAACCAUGCCACUUGAGGUGCAUUAGGUGACCACUCACGUGAGCUCGUGAUUGCUUCAGAGCCUCUAUUGUCUGUAAAAGGUAUAAUUACCCUGCUGACACUGGACAUAUGGCUCGUGCCCAGAGAGAGGAUAAGGCCAUGUUCAAACUGCCUAUGAUUCCUCGGGUGUUUUUUCAGCUACCCCUCACCCACCCACCAACUCCCUUCGGACUUCAGUUUGGGCUAGAACCUUACACCCACAUAAACUAAAGCUGUAUGGGGUCCUCAGUUUUCAAGCACAUAAAAGUAUUCUGUAUCCAAAAAGUUUGUGAACCACUGCCCUAGAGAAACUUUCCAUGGCGUGCAAGAUGUAUGUAAGAAUGCCCAGUAGAGACAUAAUAAGAAACCAGAAAAAGUGGAAAUCUCAAUGCCUGUCAUCAAGAGAGAUAAAUGCAGCGUGGUCUAUUUCUGUUCUCCUCACAUUGCCCAGAUGCCUGCUUAACUGGGAGGCGUUAUGUUCUCAGUUUUUGCAAGUGUCAUAAAGGAGUGAAUGGAGCAUUACCUGUCAUUAUAGACACUGCAAAAUGAGCUAGUAGCAGGAUUUUUACCACAGGUACCCAUAAGCAACAUGUGGCAUGGUUCACCAUGGUUUUACAUUGUUGUGUAAAUAACUUAAAAUUAUGUGAAUAAUGUAAAAGCAUGGUGAACAAUGCCAUGUUUUGCUUAUGGGUACCUGCGGUAAAAAGCAAAAAUCAUGACCCUGAAGGGGUGAGCAGGCCUACAGGUGCUGGGCAGGCACUGUCUUGCAAAGAGCACAAAAUGUGCAGGUCCCUCUGGGAGUGUUAUAGUGGGUAGCUAGUCAGAAAGAGCAGGGCAGGAGAGGGCUCCCCAUACCCCACACACCAGGAGUGUCAGGUGACCAUCAGGUGAUGGUCUGGCGGUUGUUGACUGUCUUUCUAAAGUAAUAAUUGGUCACACCCGGCAACAGGGAAAAGCCGGCUCCUAAUAGAUAGAAAACACUCGAAACUGGUGAGCAGUAGUUUCCCUAUAAGAUCUCAGGAGUUGAGCCAGUGGGCUCAGGCAGGCACAUGGGACAGCCCACCCCAAGGGAAGAACCAGGGGAGAAAUAACGCAAGACCCCGAAAGCAUGCUGACGUAUAAAACCCCAAGUCAAAAGGUCAAACCACGCACUUGCUUUUUAAGUCGUCCACUUGGCCCUCUUCCAAGUGUACUUUCCUUCCUUUUGUUCCUAUUCUAAAGCUUUUAAAUAAACUUUUACUCCUGUGCUAAAA